GUGAAAGUAACACAAAAUUAGCUGCUUUUCCAGAAAAAGACUAAAACUUCUCAGAAGUACGUAAGGUUUUAUGAGGUUUUCCCACCCAGGCUUCUAGACUUCUGAUUGGCCAACAUUUCUACACGGUUAAGAUUUGGCGUGUUCUUGACAGCGUUUCACUUUGUUUUUAGUGUUUAGAUGUGGAAGGAGAUAUUUUUUCAAAACUGCACAUGUGGACUGGAUUUUUAUUUUUUUUUAAACGAAAAAGGAAAAUCGUCCGUUUUCAAACAUAGCCGUGUACGUUUGGACGCAGCCUAAAGUCAUCACAAAAAAAGCAAAUUCUCUGAACAUUCUGGGUUGAGGUUUAGUGAUCAUUGUUGUUUUGUGUUCCUUGUAGUCAAAAUGAGUGCAAGUGGAGACGGACCACAAAAUAACCAAAACGGCCAACAGGUUAACCCACGAAUGUUGGCAAAUGGAGAUCAGGAACCUGCUAAUGGCUUCCUGAACGAUCUGUAUCUCGCUCUCCGUGAAUAUUGUUGCUAUCUACAUGAGCUAAUAGCUUCAGUACUGGCACAAUAUGACAAUUACCUUUACGGGGACGACGACGACGACGACGACGACGACGACGACGACGACGACAACGACGAUGACGACAACGAC
Long non-coding RNA from Astatotilapia calliptera (eastern happy), 639 nucleotides. The record is from Ensembl. Lineage: Eukaryota; Metazoa; Chordata; Actinopteri; Cichliformes; Cichlidae.